This 471-nucleotide ribosomal RNA is filed under the name Triticum aestivum (bread wheat). Its description in RNAcentral is "partial small subunit ribosomal RNA". Lineage: Eukaryota; Viridiplantae; Streptophyta; Magnoliopsida; Poales; Poaceae. The record is from RNAcentral.
AGUCGGCUAAUCACGACAACUCGUAAAGUCGGUGUAGCUGAUUUAUGUUCCACAUCUCAUAAUGGUUCAGUCUAUCAAAUGAAACCUCUUAGUGUUGAUGAUUCCAAACGUCUCUUCUAUAGAAGGUUAUUUUCUGAUGAGAGUGGAUGUCCUCUUGAAUUUGAAGAAGUGUCCAAGGAUAUAUUGAAGAAAUGUGGUGGAGUACCAUUGGCAAUUAUUACUAUAGCUAGUUCUCUGUCUAGUGGCCAGAAGGUAAAGCCAAAGGAUGAGUGGCUUGUUUUGCUCAAGUCUAUUGGGAGUGGACUUACCGAAGACCCCAGUGUAGAGGAGAUGUUGAGGAUACUAUCAUUCAGCUAUUAUGACCUGCCUUGCCCUCUGAAGACAUGCUUAUUAUAUCUAAGUAUGUUUCCGGAGGAUCACAAGAUCAUGAAAGAUCGGUUGAUAUGGAUGUGGAUUGCCGAGGGUUUUAUC